This 468-nucleotide ribosomal RNA is filed under the name uncultured bacterium. RNAcentral describes it as "partial 16S ribosomal RNA". It matches the Rfam family "Bacterial small subunit ribosomal RNA", at positions 28 to 507 of the family's 1533-position model. The record is from RNAcentral.
GACGAACGCUGGCGGCGUGCUUAACACAUGCAAGUCGAACGGAAAGGCCCUGCUUUUGUGGGGUGCUCGAGUGGCGAACGGGUGAGUAACACGUGUGUAAACUGCACUUGACUUUGGGGUAACUUCAGGAAACUCGGGCUAAUACAGGAUAGGAGCUACUGCUGCAUGGGGGGGGUUGGAAAGUUUCGGCGGUUGGGGAUGGACUCGCGGCUUAUCAGCUUGUUGGUGGGGUAGUGGCUGACCAAGGCUUUGACGGGUAGCCGGCCUGAGAGGGUGACCGGCCACAAUGGGACUGAGAUACGGCGCAGACUCCUACGGGACGCAGCAGUGGGGAAUAUUGCGCAAUGGGCGGAAGCCUGAGGCAGCAACGCCGCGUGCGGGAUGACGGCCUACGGGUGGUAAACCGCUGUCGCAUGUGACGAAGCGUGAGUGACGGUAAUGGGUAAAGAAGCACCGGCUAACUACGUG